Molecule: transfer RNA, 87 nt
Filed under: Zetaproteobacteria bacterium
Lineage: Bacteria; Pseudomonadati; Pseudomonadota; Candidatius Mariprofundia
Description: tRNA-Leu
Rfam family: tRNA
About the family: Transfer RNA (tRNA) molecules are approximately 80 nucleotides in length. Their secondary structure includes four short double-helical elements and three loops (D, anti-codon, and T loops).
Source: RNAcentral
GCGGGAGUGGCGAAACUGGUAGACGCCCGGGACUUAAAGUCCUGUGCGCUUCGGCGCGUGCGGGUUCGACUCCCGCCUCCCGCACCA